UGCGUAGGCGGAAAAUUAAGUCAGUGGUGAAAUCCUGCAGCUCAACUGUAGAACUGUCAUUGAUACUGAUUUUCUUGAAUUUAGUUGAGGUAGGCGGAAUGUGUAAUGUAGCGGUGAAAUGCUUAGAUAUUACACAGAACACCGAUUGCGAAGGCAGCUUACUAAGCUAACAUUGACGCUGAGGCACGAAAGCGUGGGGAGCGAACAGGAUUAGAUACCCUGGUAGUC
Molecule: ribosomal RNA, 228 nt
Filed under: uncultured bacterium
Lineage: Bacteria
Description: partial 16S ribosomal RNA
Rfam family: Bacterial small subunit ribosomal RNA
Source: RNAcentral